AUUGAACGCUGGCGGCAGGCCUAACACAUGCAAGUCGAGCGAGCGGCGGACGGGUGAGUAAUGUCUGGGAAACUGCCUGAUGGAGGGGGAUAACUACUGGAAACUGUAGCUAAUACCGCGUACCAUAGGAUGAGCCCAAGUGGGAUUAGGUAGUUGGUGAGGUAAAGGCUCACCAAGCCGACGAUCUCUAGCUGGUCUGAGAGGAUGACCAGCCACACUGGGACUGAGACACGGCCCAGACUCCUACGGGAGGCAGCAGUGGGGAAUAUUGCGCAAUGGGGGCAACCUGACGCAGCCAUGCCGCGUGAAUGAAGAAGGCCUUCGGGUUGUAAAGUUCUUUCGGUGACGAGGCGUUAAUCACAGAAGAAGCACCGGCUAACUCCGUGCCAGCCGCCGCGGUAAUUC
This 405-nucleotide ribosomal RNA is filed under the name uncultured bacterium. RNAcentral describes it as "partial 16S ribosomal RNA". It matches the Rfam family "Bacterial small subunit ribosomal RNA", at positions 30 to 526 of the family's 1533-position model. The record is from RNAcentral.